RNAcentral lists this transfer RNA (90 nucleotides) under Polaromonas sp. RNAcentral describes it as "tRNA-Ser". It matches the Rfam family "tRNA". From Rfam's summary of the family: Transfer RNA (tRNA) molecules are approximately 80 nucleotides in length. Their secondary structure includes four short double-helical elements and three loops (D, anti-codon, and T loops). Further hydrogen bonds mediate the characteristic L-shaped molecular structure. tRNAs have two regions of fundamental functional importance: the anti-codon, which is responsible for specific mRNA codon recognition, and the 3' end, to which the tRNAs corresponding amino acid is attached (by aminoacyl-tRNA synthetases). tRNAs cope with the degeneracy of the genetic code in two manners: having more than one tRNA (with a specific anti-codon) for a particular amino acid; and 'wobble' base-pairing, i.e. permitting non-standard base-pairing at the 3rd anti-codon position. Lineage: Bacteria; Pseudomonadati; Pseudomonadota; Betaproteobacteria; Burkholderiales; Comamonadaceae. The record is from RNAcentral.
GGAAGGGUGGAUGAGCGGUUUAAGUCAUACGCCUGGAAAGCGUACGUGGGGUUAAACCCACCGCGGGUUCGAAUCCCGCCUCUUCCGCCA